ACAGUAGUCCGCACAUUGGUUA
This 22-nucleotide non-coding RNA is filed under the name Danio rerio (zebrafish). Lineage: Eukaryota; Metazoa; Chordata; Actinopteri; Cypriniformes; Danionidae. The record is from RNAcentral. RNAcentral also lists the same sequence under 1 other name.